RNAcentral lists this non-coding RNA (117 nucleotides) under Pan paniscus (pygmy chimpanzee). RNAcentral also lists the same sequence under 1 other name. Lineage: Eukaryota; Metazoa; Chordata; Mammalia; Primates; Hominidae. The record is from Rfam by way of RNAcentral.
GCCAGGCGCGGUGGCUCAUGCCUGUAAUCCCAGCACUUUGGGAGGCUGAGGUGGGUGGAUCACCUGAGGUCAGGAAUUCUACACCAGCCUGACCAACAUGGAGAAACCCCAUCUCUA